Molecule: ribosomal RNA, 293 nt
Filed under: uncultured prokaryote
Description: partial 16S ribosomal RNA
Rfam family: Bacterial small subunit ribosomal RNA
Source: RNAcentral
GUGUCAGCAGCCGCGGUAAUACGUAGGUGGCAAGCGUUGUCCGGAAUUAUUGGGCGUAAAGGGCUCGCAGGCGGAAUCUUAAGUCUGAUGUGAAAGCCCCGGGCUCAACCGGGGAGGGUCAUUGGAAACUGGGGAACUUGAGUGCAGAAGAGGAGAGUGGAAUUCCACGUGUAGCGGUGAAAUUGCGUAGAGAUGUGGAGGAACACCAGUGGCGAAGGCGACUCUCUGGUCUGUAACUGACGCUGAGGAGCGAAAGCGUGGGGAGCGAACAGGAUUAGAUACCCCGGUAGUCC